Molecule: ribosomal RNA, 525 nt
Filed under: uncultured bacterium
Lineage: Bacteria
Description: bacterial SSU rRNA
Rfam family: Bacterial small subunit ribosomal RNA
Source: RNAcentral
AAUCAACGCUGGCGGCGCGCUUAACACAUGCAAGUCGAGCGAGAAAGUCCCUUCGGGGAUGAGUAAAGCGGCGGACGGGUGAGUAACACGUGGGUAACCUACCCUCGAAUGGGGAAUAACCCCGGGAAACUGGGGCUAAUACCGCAUACGAUCCUUCGGGAUGAAAGCCUUCGGGCGUUCGAGGAGGGGCCCGCGCCCGAUUAGCUAGUUGGUAGGGUAAUGGCCUACCAAGGCUCCGAUCGGUAGCCGGCCUGAGAGGGCACACGGCCACACUGGCACUGAGACACGGGCCAGACUCCUACGGGAGGCAGCAGUGGGGAAUCUUGGACAAUGGGGGCAACCCUGAUCCAGCGACGCCGCGUGACCGAUGAAGCCUUUCGGGGUGUAAAGGUCUUUCAGCGGGGACUAACCUGAAGGUACCCGCAGAAGCAGCUGCGGCUAACUACGUGCCAGCAGCCGCGGUAAUACGUAGGCAGCAAGCGUUGUUCGGAAUUACUGGGCGUAAAGCGAGUGUAGGCGGUCGCC